This 52-nucleotide transfer RNA is filed under the name Vibrio cholerae HC-51A1. RNAcentral's name for it is "partial tRNA-OTHER". It matches the Rfam family "tRNA", at positions 24 to 71 of the family's 71-position model. Rfam says of the family: Transfer RNA (tRNA) molecules are approximately 80 nucleotides in length. Lineage: Bacteria; Pseudomonadati; Pseudomonadota; Gammaproteobacteria; Vibrionales; Vibrionaceae. The record is from RNAcentral.
CAACGGGUUUUGAUCCCGUCAUACCCAGGUUCGAAUCCUGGCAGACCUGCCA